GUAGGUGGCAAGCGUUAUCCGGAAUUAUUGGGCGUAAAGCGCGCGCAGGCGGUUUCUUAAGUCUGAUGUGAAAGCCCACGGGCUCAACCGUGGGGGGUCAUUGGAAACUGGGGAACUUGAGUGCAGAAGAGAAAAGCGGAGUUCCACGUGUAGCGGUGAAAUGCGUAGAGAUGUGGAGGAACACCAGUGGCGAAGGCGGCUUUUUGGUCUGUAACUGACGCUGAGGCGCGAAAGCGUGGGGAGCAAACAGGAUUAGAUACCCUGGUAGUCCACGCCGUAAACGAUGAGUGCUAAGUGUUAGAGGGUUUCCGCCCUUUAGUGCUGCAGCUAACGCAUUAAGCACUCCGCCUGGGGAGUACGGUCGCAAAGACUG
RNAcentral lists this ribosomal RNA (373 nucleotides) under uncultured organism. Its description in RNAcentral is "partial 16S ribosomal RNA". It matches the Rfam family "Bacterial small subunit ribosomal RNA", at positions 527 to 896 of the family's 1533-position model. The record is from RNAcentral.